AUGAAGCAAAUAAGGAUACGGGAGAGGCUUCAUGGUUCAAGUCUAUAUGGGUAGAUGAUGCGUGGGUUGAUAGCGUGGCUAUCGACAAAUAUGUUGACUUCCUAGAGGAAAGGCAGUCUGAUUGUGCAAUUGCAUAUCCCCAAGAUUGCAAGUUCUGUCCCACUUAUUUUAUGCCAUGCCUUCAAACUAGUAUGCCGACUCUAAGGGCGUAUCGGGACUCGAAGUCUGCUUCGGAACGUGCAAAGUUGGUAGGCAUGAUGAACAAUGUCAUCGCAAUUGCCAAGCAGUGGGGUAAAUCACACGCCAAGGAGAUUUGGUAUAGUGAACGGGUAAUUUAUUCAUCACAUAACAUCAAAAAAGGUCGUAAUGUGUUCUUUGAUCAUGUUUUUUAACUGAUAGCCUACUUCUUAAACAUGGAUAGGUUUAUGUACUCGUCAACCAUGAUAACUCUCAUUGGUUCUUGAUGGUCCUAUAUCCAAGACAACGGGAGAUCAUUAUUAUCGAUAGCUUAGUGUCAAAUGCUCUCCUAAAGUAUAAGCAGAUGAUCAAUUUGAUGACGGAGGCGCUCCCGAUUCUCUUCCAUGCCACCGGAGACA
Molecule: long non-coding RNA, 596 nt
Organism: Magnolia sinica
Lineage: Eukaryota; Viridiplantae; Streptophyta; Magnoliopsida; Magnoliales; Magnoliaceae
Exons: 3
Source: RefSeq, a predicted model, not a curated record